GCCGGGCGUGGUGGCGCGCGCCUGUAAUCCCAGCUACUCGGGAGGCUGAGGCAGGAGAAUCGCUUGAACCCGGGAGGUGGAGGUUACAGUGAGCCAAGAUUGCACCACUGCACUCCAGCCUGGGCAACAUAGCGAGACUCUGUCUCAA
Molecule: unclassified non-coding RNA, 148 nt
Organism: Pongo abelii (Sumatran orangutan)
Lineage: Eukaryota; Metazoa; Chordata; Mammalia; Primates; Hominidae
Rfam family: Metazoan signal recognition particle RNA
About the family: The signal recognition particle (SRP) is a universally conserved ribonucleoprotein.
Source: Ensembl